CAGUAGCCGCGGUAAUACGAAGGGGGCUAGCGUUGUUUGGAAUUACUGGGCGUAAAGCGCACGUAGGCGGAUCGAUCAGUCAGGGGUGAAAUCCCAGGGCUCAACCCUGGAACUGCCUUUGAUACUGUCGAUCUGGAGUAUGGAAGAGGUGAGUGGAAUUCCGAGUGUAGAGGUGAAAUUCGUAGAUAUUCGGAGGAACACCAGUGGCGAAGGCGGCUCACUGGUCCAUUACUGACGCUGAGGUGCGAAAGCGUGGGGAGCAAACAGGAUUAGAUACCCCAGUAGUCCCUGUCUCUUAUAC
RNAcentral lists this ribosomal RNA (301 nucleotides) under uncultured bacterium. Its description in RNAcentral is "partial 16S ribosomal RNA". It matches the Rfam family "Bacterial small subunit ribosomal RNA", at positions 509 to 807 of the family's 1533-position model. The record is from RNAcentral.